This 1449-nucleotide ribosomal RNA is filed under the name Enterococcus durans. RNAcentral describes it as "bacterial SSU rRNA". It matches the Rfam family "Bacterial small subunit ribosomal RNA". The record is from RNAcentral. Lineage: Bacteria; Bacillati; Bacillota; Bacilli; Lactobacillales; Enterococcaceae.
GACGAACGCUGGCGGCGUGCCUAAUACAUGCAAGUCGUACGCUUCUUUUUCCACCGGAGCUUGCUCCACCGGAAAAAGAAGAGUGGCGAACGGGUGAGUAACACGUGGGUAACCUGCCCAUCAGAAGGGGAUAACACUUGGAAACAGGUGCUAAUACCGUAUAACAAUCGAAACCGCAUGGUUUUGAUUUGAAAGGCGCUUUCGGGUGUCGCUGAUGGAUGGACCCGCGGUGCAUUAGCUAGUUGGUGAGGUAACGGCUCACCAAGGCCACGAUGCAUAGCCGACCUGAGAGGGUGAUCGGCCACAUUGGGACUGAGACACGGCCCAAACUCCUACGGGAGGCAGCAGUAGGGAAUCUUCGGCAAUGGACGAAAGUCUGACCGAGCAACGCCGCGUGAGUGAAGAAGGUUUUCGGAUCGUAAAACUCUGUUGUUAGAGAAGAAUAAGGAUGAGAGUAACUGUUCAUCCCUUGACGGUAUCUAACCAGAAAGCCACGGCUAACUACGUGCCAGCAGCCGCGGUAAUACGUAGGUGGCAAGCGUUGUCCGGAUUUAUUGGGCGUAAAGCGAGCGCAGGCGGUUUCUUAAGUCUGAUGUGAAAGCCCCCGGCUCAACCGGGGAGGGUCAUUGGAAACUGGGAGACUUGAGUGCAGAAGAGGAGAGUGGAAUUCCAUGUGUAGCGGUGAAAUGCGUAGAUAUAUGGAGGAACACCAGUGGCGAAGGCGGCUCUCUGGUCUGUAACUGACGCUGAGGCUCGAAAGCGUGGGGAGCAAACAGGAUUAGAUACCCUGGUAGUCCACGCCGUAAACGAUGAGUGCUAAGUGUUGGAGGGUUUCCGCCCUUCAGUGCUGCAGCUAACGCAUUAAGCACUCCGCCUGGGGAGUACGACCGCAAGGUUGAAACUCAAAGGAAUUGACGGGGGCCCGCACAAGCGGUGGAGCAUGUGGUUUAAUUCGAAGCAACGCGAAGAACCUUACCAGGUCUUGACAUCCUUUGACCACUCUAGAGAUAGAGCUUCCCCUUCGGGGGCAAAGUGACAGGUGGUGCAUGGUUGUCGUCAGCUCGUGUCGUGAGAUGUUGGGUUAAGUCCCGCAACGAGCGCAACCCUUAUUGUUAGUUGCCAUCAUUCAGUUGGGCACUCUAGCAAGACUGCCGGUGACAAACCGGAGGAAGGUGGGGAUGACGUCAAAUCAUCAUGCCCCUUAUGACCUGGGCUACACACGUGCUACAAUGGGAAGUACAACGAGUCGCGAAGUCGCGAGGCUAAGCUAAUCUCUUAAAGCUUCUCUCAGUUCGGAUUGUAGGCUGCAACUCGCCUACAUGAAGCCGGAAUCGCUAGUAAUCGCGGAUCAGCACGCCGCGGUGAAUACGUUCCCGGGCCUUGUACACACCGCCCGUCACACCACGAGAGUUUGUAACACCCGAAGUCGGUGAGGUAACCUUUUGGAGC